CGAGCUGUGGAAUCGGUCAUUUCAUUUUCAUGGGAAAAGAGGCUCUUCUUAACUUUAACAGCUUUGGUCACCCGAGGAAGAGUUCUAAAUCACAUCAUCAUCAAAUAAGGGAGUUCUAACAGUCCAAAUAAGAGCUGAGUGUCCAAUUAGAGCUGGGUGGCUCAGGAGGGCACUAUUGGCAUUGUUUGAGAUGGUUCUUUGCUGUCAUGUGGUGAUCGAACUGCAGGCGCCUUGCAGGACAAUCAGCACCCCCCCACACACACAGAAUGCCAGAGACCCCCUCAAGCCAAUGUAAUACCCCAAACCCACCCCCCACGACUUUCACAGGGUUUCUGGGAACAGGGGAGGAUCCUGCCCCAGGUGAGAACCAAUGAAACGGAGGGUUGCCUACUUCUCUCUCCUCUUUGCAAGAAUUCGGUUCUCCAAGGAAUUAGGAGAGAGCAGAAUCGAACCGGGGACAGCCACCAGUAGGAGAAGAUUUCUGGCAUCUGAACCUCAUUUCAUAAGAGCCACCUUUGAGAGAGAGUUCCGUCAACCAACUAACCAGCCAAUUAGGAUCCAUCAUUGAAGCUCGCACGUUGAACCACGGAUUGAUGACCGUGCUUCCUUCGUUCCCCCUCAGGUCCCAAAGUGGGACCUACAGAAUCGUUUUCAAGUGGAAUAUGAGUGGUGGUUUCCCCCAGUUAAGCAGAGGAGUCGAGCUCAGAAACUCAGUUCUUCUCCGACUUUGUAAGCUCAGUGUUUCGGAAUCAUUCACUGCCAUCUGCCUUCACAGCCUCCAGGAAACAAGGAACAGGAAAGGAGAGAACAAUGGAAUCCAUGGACCGGUGGGUUGCCCCCUCAGCUCUGCCUCUUAAGAGUCUCUGAACAGUUACUCAACCUC
Molecule: long non-coding RNA, 883 nt
Organism: Herpailurus yagouaroundi (jaguarundi)
Lineage: Eukaryota; Metazoa; Chordata; Mammalia; Carnivora; Felidae
Exons: 2
Source: RefSeq, a predicted model, not a curated record